Molecule: ribosomal RNA, 253 nt
Filed under: uncultured bacterium
Lineage: Bacteria
Description: partial 16S ribosomal RNA
Rfam family: Bacterial small subunit ribosomal RNA
Source: RNAcentral
UACGAAGGGUGCAAGCGUUACUCGGAAUUACUGGGCGUAAAGCGUGCGCAGGCGGUUUUGUAAGCCAGAUGUGAAAUCCCCGGGCUUAACCUGGGAAUGGCAUUUGGGACUGCAAGGCUGGAGUGUGGCAGAGGAGACUGGAAUUCCUGGUGUAGCAGUGAAAUGCGUAGAUAUCAGGAGGAAUACCGAUGGCGAAGGCAGCCUCCUGGGCCAACACUGACGCUCAUGCACGAAAGCGUGGGGAGCAAACAGG